AUCUUUUUAGUAUAUAAAAUAUAUUUGACUUCCAAUCAAAAGAUCUUAAUAUUUAAGAAAAGAUA
This 65-nucleotide transfer RNA is filed under the name Menida violacea. RNAcentral describes it as "tRNA-Gly". RNAcentral also lists the same sequence under 1 other name. Lineage: Eukaryota; Metazoa; Arthropoda; Insecta; Hemiptera; Pentatomidae. The record is from RNAcentral.